RNAcentral lists this unclassified non-coding RNA (377 nucleotides) under soil metagenome. Its description in RNAcentral is "partial contains 5.8S ribosomal RNA, internal transcribed spacer 2, and large subunit ribosomal RNA". The stretch from base 1 to 120 matches the Rfam family "5.8S ribosomal RNA", at positions 35 to 154 of the family's 154-position model. The record is from RNAcentral.
GAUGAAGAACGUAGUGAAAUGCGAUAAGUAAUGUGAAUUGCAGAAUUCAGUGAAUCAUCGAAUCUUUGAACGCAUCUUGCGCUCCUUGGUAUUCUGAGGAGCAUGCCUGUUUGAGUGUCAUUAAAUUCUCAACUACACUGACUUUGAAUUGGUGUGGCUUGGAUUUGGGUGGGAAAAUUGUUGUGGGCUUUUUGUAUAGUCUGCUCCCCUGAAAUUGAUUAGCGGUACCUUUGUGGAACUGUCUACAGGUGUGAUAAUUAUCUACAUCCUAGACAUCUGCUGGAAUGCUGCUUUCUAAACCUUACUUGUAUUGACAAUCUUGACCUCAAAUCAGGUAGGACUACCCGCUGAACUUAAGCAUAUCAAUAAGCGGAGGA